RNAcentral lists this long non-coding RNA (383 nucleotides) under Carica papaya (papaya). Its description in RNAcentral is "long non-coding RNA (CPAP_LNC006604)". The record is from RNAcentral. Lineage: Eukaryota; Viridiplantae; Streptophyta; Magnoliopsida; Brassicales; Caricaceae.
UUCCCCUCAUUGAUCUCACCCUUCAGACAAUUAGCCACAAGCAGUAGCAAGAAUCCUCUCUUUCUCUGCCCAGUCCACCUCUCCCGAACAUCCCUGUCCAGGUUGAAACUGAUAGAGAAAUGAUCUUCCAGGCUGAAGAUGCAACUGAAACAACAUCAAACCAGCCAUACAGUGAGUUAAGAAUAAAUGAUGAGAACAACAACGAGCGAGUAGAAGAAAAUCCAGGAGAGUGGCUGAACCUGAGACUGGGUGGGAAUUCAGUCUCAACAGCUGCAGACUCUGACUCACACCCGAGACCUGGUUCAACCAAGGUUUUCUCCUGUAACUUCUGCAUGAGAAAGUUUUUUAGCUCGCAGGCAUUAGGGGGUCACCAGAAUGCUCAU